RNAcentral lists this ribosomal RNA (442 nucleotides) under uncultured bacterium. RNAcentral describes it as "partial 16S ribosomal RNA". It matches the Rfam family "Bacterial small subunit ribosomal RNA", at positions 338 to 795 of the family's 1533-position model. The record is from RNAcentral.
CCUACGGGUGGCAGCAGUGGGGAAUAUUGGGCAAUGGGCGCAAGCCUGAUCGAGCAACGCCGCGUGAAGGAAGAAGGCUUUCGGGUUGUAAACCUCUUUUGACAGGGAAGAGUAGAAGACGGUACCUGUCGAAUAAGCCACGGCUAACUACGUGCAAGCAGCCGCGGUAAUACGUAGGUGGCAAGCGCUGUCCGGAUUUACUGGGUGUAAAUGGCGGGUAGGCGGGUUGAUAAGUCAGAUGUGAAAGCCUGCGGCUUAACCGAAGAACUGCAUUCGAAACCGUUGAACUUGAGUACUGGAGAGGCAGACGGAACUCCUAGUGUAGCGGUGGAAUGCGUAGAUAUUAGGAAGAACACCAGUGGCGAAGGCGGUCUGCUGGACAGCAACUGACGGUGAGGCGCGAAAGCAUGGGGAGCGAACAGGAUUAGAUACCCGGGUAGUC